AGACCAUAAGGCUUUGCCUUGCGUUGAGCUUAUUUGGACGUCAAGUUCAAAAGCUCCAAACUGAUUGGCGUCUGAGUUUGGGCCACAACACAGCGAAAUGUGUCUGUGCGCAAUCUCUUAUUGCUAGAUAAUCACAUCAAAC
This 142-nucleotide unclassified non-coding RNA is filed under the name uncultured Ascomycota. RNAcentral's name for it is "sequence contains ITS2". Lineage: Eukaryota; Fungi; Ascomycota. The record is from RNAcentral.